Molecule: ribosomal RNA, 429 nt
Filed under: Actinomycetes bacterium
Lineage: Bacteria; Bacillati; Actinomycetota; Actinomycetes
Description: Actinobacteria bacterium partial 16S ribosomal RNA
Rfam family: Bacterial small subunit ribosomal RNA
Source: RNAcentral
UAGGGAAUCUUCCGCAAUGGGCGAAAGCCUGACGGAGCAACGCCGCGUGAGUGAUGAAGGUCUUCGGAUCGUAAAACUCUGUUAUUAGGGAAGAACAAAUGUGUAAGUAACUAUGCACGUCUUGACGGUACCUAAUCAGAAAGCCACGGCUAACUACGUGCCAGCAGCCGCGGUAAUACGUAGGUGGCAAGCGUUAUCCGGAAUUAUUGGGCGUAAAGCGCGCGUAGGCGGUUUUUUAAGUCUGAUGUGAAAGCCCACGGCUCAACCGUGGAGGGUCAUUUGAAACUGGAAAACUUGAGUGCAGAAGAGGAAAGGGGAAUUCCAUGUGUAGCGGUAAAAUGCGCAGAAAUAUGGAGGAACACCAGUGGCGAAGGCGACUUUCUGGUCUGUAACUAACGCUGAUGUGCGAAAGCGUGGGAAUCAAACAGG